This 341-nucleotide ribosomal RNA is filed under the name uncultured Steroidobacter sp. RNAcentral describes it as "bacterial SSU rRNA". It matches the Rfam family "Bacterial small subunit ribosomal RNA", at positions 56 to 397 of the family's 1533-position model. The record is from RNAcentral. Lineage: Bacteria; Pseudomonadati; Pseudomonadota; Gammaproteobacteria; Steroidobacterales; Steroidobacteraceae.
UGCAAGUCGAGCGGUAACAGGUGUAGCAAUACAUGCUGACGAGCGGCGGACGGGUGAGUAACGCUUGGGAAUCUGCCUGUUAGUGGGGGACAACCCGGGGAAACUCGGGCUAAUACCGCAUACGCACUACGGUGGAAAGCCGGGGACCGCAAGGCCUGGCGCUAACAGAUGAGCCCAAGUCGGAUUAGCUAGUUGGUAGGGUAACGGCCUAACAAGGCGACGAUCCGUAACUGGUCUGAGAGGACGACCAGUCACACCGGAACUGAGACACGGUCCGGACUCCUACGGGAGGCAGCAGUGGGGAAUAUUGGACAAUGGGCGAAAGCCUGAUCCAGCGACGC